This is a non-coding RNA of Ciona savignyi (Pacific transparent sea squirt), 46 nucleotides long. The record is from Rfam. NCBI's taxonomy places the organism in Eukaryota, Metazoa, Chordata, Ascidiacea, Phlebobranchia, Cionidae.
CCAACGGCUCUUUUCAGAGCCACCUAUUGUUUUCAAAGAGAAUUAU